CAGCAGCCACGGGAAUACGUAGGGUGCAAGCGUUAAUCGGAAUUACUGGGCGUAAAGCGUGCGCAGGCGGUUUUGUAAGACAGAGGUGAAAUCCCCGGGCUCAACCUGGGAACUGCCUUUGUGACUGCAAGGCUAGAGUACGGCAGAGGGGGAUGGAAUUCCGCGUGUAGCAGUGAAAUGCGUAGAUAUGCGGAGGAACACCGAUGGCGAAGGCAAUCCCCUGGGCCUGUACUGACGCUCAUGCACGAAAGCGUGGGGAGCAAACAGGAUUAGAUACCCCUGUAGUCCCUGUCUCUUAUAC
This 301-nucleotide ribosomal RNA is filed under the name uncultured bacterium. Its description in RNAcentral is "partial 16S ribosomal RNA". It matches the Rfam family "Bacterial small subunit ribosomal RNA", at positions 509 to 807 of the family's 1533-position model. The record is from RNAcentral.